Molecule: unclassified non-coding RNA, 202 nt
Filed under: Hevea brasiliensis (rubber tree)
Lineage: Eukaryota; Viridiplantae; Streptophyta; Magnoliopsida; Malpighiales; Euphorbiaceae
Source: RNAcentral
GUUGAUACUCGUUCUUCUUGCUCUUGCAGGUGAUCACGCAGACGCUGAGCAUCCCAAAAAACUUUAUGAUAGCAAAACCCAGGAUGACCAGCAUUGCAUAGCUGAGCACAUCUUGAAGCACCUGCUCCAGUUUAGCUUCACACCCCUGUGUGUUCAGCAGAUCUGGCUGGGAGAGCUGACCAGUGCACUGCGUCAUGUUUGC